AGUCACUGACAUUAGAUACCCGUGUAGUCCAGGGUAUAAACGCUGCAGACUUGGUGUUGGGAACCCUUCGGGGGUGCUCAGUGCCGGAGAGAAGUUGUUAAGUCUGCUACUUGGGGAGUACGUCCGCAAGGAUGAAACUUAAAGGAAUUGGCGGGGGAGCACCGCAACGGGAGGAGCGUGCGGUUUAAUUGGAUUCAACACCGUAAAACUCACCAGGGAAGACUGUUACAUGAAGGCCGAGAUGAAGACUCUGCUAGAUUUUCAG
This 265-nucleotide ribosomal RNA is filed under the name uncultured archaeon. RNAcentral's name for it is "partial 16S ribosomal RNA". It matches the Rfam family "Archaeal small subunit ribosomal RNA", at positions 717 to 982 of the family's 1478-position model. The record is from RNAcentral.